GGAUUAAGAGCUUGCUCUUAUGAAGUUAGCGGCGGACGGGAGAGUAACACGUGGGUAACCUGCCCAUAAGACUGGGAUAACUCCGGGAAACCGGGGCUAAUACCGGAUAACAUUUUGAACUGCAUGGUUCGAAAUUGAAAGGCGGCUUCGGCUGUCACUUAUGGAUGGACCCGCGUCGCAUUAGCUAGUUGGUGAGGUAACGGCUCACCAAGGCAACGAUGCGUAGCCGACCUGAGAGGGUGAUCGGCCACACUGGGACUGAGACACGGCCCAGACUCCUACGGGAGGCAGCAGUAGGGAAUCUUCCGCAAUGGACGAAAGUCUGACGGAGCAACGCCGCGUGAGUGAUGAAGGCUUUCGGGUCGUAAAACUCUGUUGUUAGGGAAGAACAAGUGCUAGUUGAAUAAGCUGGCACCUUGACGGUACCUAACCAGAAAGCCACGGCUAACUACGUGCCAGCAGCCGCGGUAAUACGUAGGUGGCAAGCGUUAUCCGGAAUUAUUGGGCGUAAAGCGCGCGCAGGUGGUUUCUUAAGUCUGAUGUGAAAGCCCACGGCUCAACCGUGGAGGGUCAUUGGAAACUGGGAGACUUGAGUGCAGAAGAGGAAAGUGGAAUUCCAUGUGUAGCGGUGAAAUGCGUAGAGAUAUGGAGGAACACCAGUGG
RNAcentral lists this ribosomal RNA (663 nucleotides) under Bacillus sp. LSE-68. RNAcentral describes it as "bacterial SSU rRNA". It matches the Rfam family "Bacterial small subunit ribosomal RNA", at positions 69 to 715 of the family's 1533-position model. The record is from RNAcentral. Lineage: Bacteria; Bacillati; Bacillota; Bacilli; Caryophanales; Bacillaceae.